RNAcentral lists this unclassified non-coding RNA (334 nucleotides) under soil metagenome. RNAcentral describes it as "partial contains 5.8S ribosomal RNA, internal transcribed spacer 2, and large subunit ribosomal RNA". The stretch from base 1 to 120 matches the Rfam family "5.8S ribosomal RNA", at positions 35 to 154 of the family's 154-position model. The record is from RNAcentral.
GAUGAAGAACGUAGCGAAAUGCGAUAAGUAAUGUGAAUUGCAGAAUUCAGUGAAUCAUCGAAUCUUUGAACGCACAUUGCGCCCGCCAGUAUUCUGGCGGGCAUGCCUGUUCGAGCGUCAUUUCAACCAUCAAGCCCUGCUUGCGUUGGGGUCCUGCGGCUGCCCGCAGGCCCUGAAAACCAGUGGCGGGCUCGCUAGUCACACCGAGCGCAGUAAUACAUCUCGCUUUGGGCGUGCGGCGGGUUCUUGCCGUUAAACACCCCCUUUUUACCAAGGUUGACCUCGGAUCAGGUAGGAAUACCCGCUGAACUUAAGAAUAUCAAUAAGCGGAGGA